Molecule: ribosomal RNA, 482 nt
Filed under: uncultured bacterium
Lineage: Bacteria
Description: partial 16S ribosomal RNA
Rfam family: Bacterial small subunit ribosomal RNA
Source: RNAcentral
AUUGAACGCUGGCGGCAUGCUUUACACAUGCAAGUCGAACGGUAACAGGCCGCAAGGUGCUGACGAGUGGCGAACGGGUGAGUAAUGCAUCGGAACGUGCCCAGUCGUGGGGGAUAACUACUCGAAAGAGUAGCUAAUACCGCAUACGAUCUAUGGAUGAAAGCGGGGGACCGUAAGGCCUCGCGCGAUUGGAGCGGCCGAUGUCAGAUUAGGUAGUUGGUGGGGUAAAGGCUCACCAAGCCAACGAUCUGUAGCUGGUCUGAGAGGACGACCAGCCACACUGGGACUGAGACACGGCCCAGACUCCUACGGGGGGCAGCAGUGGGGAAUUUUUGACAAUGGGCGCAAGCCUGAUCCAGCAAUGCCGCGUGCAGGAAGAAGGCCUUCGGGUUGUAAACUGCUUUUGUACGGAACGAAACGGCUCUGGUUAAUACCCGGGGCUAAUGACGGUACCGUAAGAAUAAGCACCGGCUAACUACGUG